AAUCCAUAGGUUAAUGAGGCGAACCGGGGGAACUGAAACAUCUAAGUACCCCGAGGAAAAGAAAUCAACCGAGAUUCCCCCAGUAGCGGCGAGCGAACGGGGAGGAGCCCAGAGCCUGAAUCAGCAUGUGUGUUAGUGGAAGCGUCUGGAAAGGCGCGCGAUACAGGGUGACAGCCCCGUACACAAAAGCGCAUGUGCUGUGAGCUCGAUGAGUAGGGCGGGACACGUGGUAUCCUGUCUGAAUAUGGGGGGACCAUCCUCCAAGGCUAAAUACUCCUGACUGACCGAUAGUGAACCAGUACCGUGAGGGAAAGGCGAAAAGAACCCCGGCGAGGGGAGUGAAAAAGAACCUGAAACCGUGUACGUACAAGCAGUGGGAGCACAGGUUUACCUGUGUGACUGCGUACCUUUUGUAUAAUGGGUCAGCGACUUAUAUUCUGUAGCAAGGUUAACCGAAUAGGGGAGCCGGAGGGAAACCGAGUCUUAAUUGGGCGUUAAGUUGCAGGGUAUAGACCCGAAACCCGGUGAUCUAGCCAUGGGCAGGUUGAAGGUUGGGUAACACUAACUGGAGGACCGAACCGACUAAUGUUGAAAAAUUAGCGGAUGACCUGUGGCUGGGGGUGAAAGGCCAAUCAAACCGGGAGAUAGCUGGUUCUCCCCGAAAGCUAUUUAGGUAGCGCCUCGUGAAUUCAUCUCCGGGGGUAGAGCACUGUUUCGGCUAGGGGGCCAUCCCGGCUUACCAACCCGAUGCAAACUGCGAAUACCGGAGAAUGUUAUCACGGGAGACACACGGCGGGUGCUAACGUCCGUCGUGAAGAGGGAAACAACCCAGACCGCCAGCUAAGGUCCCAAAGUCAUGGUUAAGUGGGAAACGAUGUGGGAAGGCCCAGACAGCCAGGAUGUUGGCUUAGAAGCAGCCAUCAUUUAAAGAAAGCGUAAUAGCUCACUGGUCGAGUCGGCCUGCGCGGAAGAUGUAACGGGGCUAAACCAUGCACCGAAGCUGCGGCAGCGAACGUAUCACUUAAAGCGAUUCAGCGGGUUACGAUUGACGGAGCGAAGCGACGUCAAAGCGUAUACAAAGUCGAGUCGGUUUAAGGAUACGUUCGUUGGGUAGGGGAGCGUUCUGUAAGCCUGUGAAGGUGUGUCGUGAGGCAUGCUGGAGGUAUCAGAAGUGCGAAUGCUGACAUAAGUAACGAUAAAGCGGGUGAAAAGCCCGCUCGCCGGAAGACCAAGGGUUCCUGUCCAACGUUAAUCGGGGCAGG
This 1262-nucleotide ribosomal RNA is filed under the name Salmonella enterica subsp. enterica serovar Infantis. RNAcentral describes it as "partial 23S ribosomal RNA". It matches the Rfam family "Bacterial large subunit ribosomal RNA", at positions 161 to 1378 of the family's 2925-position model. Lineage: Bacteria; Pseudomonadati; Pseudomonadota; Gammaproteobacteria; Enterobacterales; Enterobacteriaceae. The record is from RNAcentral.